ACCGCAUUCCCAGUACUCGUACACAACUGUAGUACACAAUUUCACGGGCCCUGUGGGAACUGACAACUCUCGUUCAUCAUGUUCCUUUAAAUCUACUCGAGUGAUCAAGCUCUCAUAUAAAAGGAGCGUCACGGAGCAUGUGCGUCAGUCUGUCACCCGGCCCGCGCACUAAACAACCCGACUCUCAGCACUGAGGGAGCAUUCAGCAGAAUAGAGAGGGAUGGCGCGUGGUGCGGCUCUGGUGGCGACGCUGGUGGUGGUGGUGGUGGUGCUGGUGGCGACUGCUGCUGAUGUGCCAUUCGUUGAUACCAGGGAUGGCCGCGUCUCAGGCAUUGUGGAGGAAUCGGUGAAGGGCCGAGACUUUUCGUCAUUCUACGGCAUUCUCUACGCUCGGCCACCACUGGGGAGGCUGCGAUUCAAGUGUGUCCUUUCUUCCAGGAUCCCGAACCCUUCCCAGACUGGGGGGCCAUGGGGGAAGCCUCCAUUCCCGC
This is a long non-coding RNA of Scylla paramamosain (green mud crab), 491 nucleotides long. RefSeq lists it as uncharacterized. Lineage: Eukaryota; Metazoa; Arthropoda; Malacostraca; Decapoda; Portunidae. The transcript has 3 exons. The record is from RefSeq and is a predicted model, not a curated record.